GGGAGACAAACAACGAUUUUGAUGCCUGAGUACUUUUAUUCUUAGGCCGAAAUCCUGUCACCUUAGGUCGAUCGGUACCUCAACUUCAAUCCUGUGAGUCGCAAGACUGCACAACGGUUGAUUUUUAGUUCCUAAACGUUGUCUAGGUCACCCCAUAGAGGGUUCACUUCCUGGGCCAUUAGCUCAGGUGGUUAGAGCGCACCCCUGAUAAGGGUGAGGUCCCUGGUUCAAGUCCAGGAUGGCCCAUUCCAAAAUCCAUUUUGGAUCAUUUGGGGGUUUAGCUCAGUUGGUAGGGCGCCUGCUUUGCAAGCAGGAUGUCAGCGGUUCGAGUCCGCUAACCUCCACUAACACUACUGAACUCCUAAGCCAGGAAGAGCUUCUUGGUUGGUGACUAGACGUUGUUCGCAGAGAAUCCACUGGUUCGUCCAGUCGUAUUCAGCCUCAGCUCAUGUCUGAUCACAGAUUGAGCUGAUGCUGAAUUCACUCCUGAAAGGGAGAGGAUUUAGCAGAACCUUGACAACUGCAUAGGUGAGUCUGGAAAGACAAAAGCAUCUCAUAGAGGCUAGUUCGCAAGAACUAGUGAUUCUAUUUUUGAGAGCCGAGACCUUCUAGCGUUCUUCCCAAUCCGCCGAGGAGCGGGGAGUUUGAUCCUUGUUUCUAACUGAAGCAGCAAUGCUUUAAGAGAAACUUGAGAGAAUGGGCCUCAACAGCCUGAAGCGUUAGGAGGAUUAAU
This 733-nucleotide transfer RNA is filed under the name uncultured Synechococcus sp. RNAcentral describes it as "16S-23S ribosomal RNA intergenic spacer". The stretch from base 173 to 246 matches the Rfam family "tRNA". The record is from RNAcentral. Lineage: Bacteria; Bacillati; Cyanobacteriota; Cyanophyceae; Synechococcales; Synechococcaceae.